This 74-nucleotide transfer RNA is filed under the name Prevotella sp. Its description in RNAcentral is "tRNA-Cys". It matches the Rfam family "tRNA". From Rfam's summary of the family: Transfer RNA (tRNA) molecules are approximately 80 nucleotides in length. RNAcentral also lists the same sequence under 1 other name. The record is from RNAcentral. Lineage: Bacteria; Pseudomonadati; Bacteroidota; Bacteroidia; Bacteroidales; Prevotellaceae.
GGUGCGUUAACAAAGCGGUUAUGUGGCGGUCUGCAAAACCGUAUAGAGCAGUUCGACUCUGCUACGCACCUCCA